Molecule: non-coding RNA, 47 nt
Organism: Picea glauca (white spruce)
Lineage: Eukaryota; Viridiplantae; Streptophyta; Pinopsida; Pinales; Pinaceae
Source: Rfam
UCUAAGGUUUUUUUCAUAACCACCAUUUAUACUCAUUUAAAAAAAUU